This 198-nucleotide ribosomal RNA is filed under the name uncultured bacterium. RNAcentral describes it as "partial 16S ribosomal RNA". It matches the Rfam family "Bacterial small subunit ribosomal RNA", at positions 328 to 539 of the family's 1533-position model. The record is from RNAcentral.
ACGCUCGACACCUACGGGAGGCAUCAGUGGGGAAUAUUGCACAAUGGAGGAAACCCUGAUGCAGCGACGCCGCGUGAGCGAAGAAGUAUUUCGGUAUGUAAAGCUCUAUCAGCAGGGAAGAAACUGACGGUACCUGACUAAGAAGCACCGGCUAAAUACGUGUCAGCAGCCGCGGUAAUCUGAGCGGGCUGGCAAGGC